Molecule: long non-coding RNA, 436 nt
Organism: Mytilus californianus (California mussel)
Lineage: Eukaryota; Metazoa; Mollusca; Bivalvia; Mytilida; Mytilidae
Exons: 3
Source: RefSeq, a predicted model, not a curated record
ACAGGUUUGGAAAACUUUAAUUUGGAAGACCUCCAUGAAUUGCGACAUGAAGAAAAGGAAGAAGUUAAAAAACAGAUUGAAGCCAUAUAUAUUGAGGCAACCUCUUUGGAGAAAAAAGCCAGAGAAUUGGCAUGUGAUACAAAUUCAAAACAGUAUAUUCUUCGCCACGCACAAACCUUAACAGAAAAAGCAAAUGAGAUGAAAGAAAAGAUAUGCUUAGCAUCAGGGAAAUCAUUCCAAACACCUGAUGAACUACAAAUUGCUAUAAAGCAAUCCAUAGCUUCAAACGAGGAACAAACAUUAAUAGUUGAGAGACUUAAGAGGAACUGUUCAUCCCAUGGCUUAGAAUACAGAGGUCAAACACCAGGGAAUGGGAAUUGUUUUUUUGAAGCAAUCACAUGCCAGCUAGAUAGAAUUGGCGCAGACGUUAUUGCUC